GUCGAACGAGGAUUUAACGGAAUGCGAUUCGUCAAAUGAAAUUAAAUCCGACCGUUAAACGGGUGAGUAACGCGUGGAUAACCUGCCUCACACAGGGGGACAACAGCCGGAAACGGCUGCUAAUACCGCAUAACAUGAGCAGCUCGCAUGGGCAGCUCACCAAAGAUUUUAUCGGUGUGAGAUGGAUCCGCGUCUGAUUAGCCAGUUGGCGGGGUAACGGCCCACCAAAGCGACGAUCAGUAGCCGACCUGAGAGGGUGACCGGCCACAUUGGGACUGAGACACGGCCCAAACUCCUACGGGAGGCAGCAGUGGGGAAUAUUGCACAAUGGGCGCAAGCCUGAUGCAGCGACGCCGCGUGAAGGAUGAAGUAUUUCGGUAUGUAAACUUCUAUCAGCAGGGAAGAAAAUGACGGUACCUGACUAAGAAGCCCCGGCUAACUACGUGCCAGCAGCCGCGGUAAUACGUAGGGGGCAAGCGUUAUCCGGAUUUACUGGGUGUAAAGGGAGCGUAGAUGGCAUGGCAAGUCUGAAGUGAAAGCCCGGGGCUUAACCCCGGGACUGCUUUGGAAACUGUUAAGCUAGAGUGCAGGAGAGGUAAGCGGAAUUCCU
Molecule: ribosomal RNA, 610 nt
Filed under: uncultured bacterium
Lineage: Bacteria
Description: bacterial SSU rRNA
Rfam family: Bacterial small subunit ribosomal RNA
Source: RNAcentral